RNAcentral lists this ribosomal RNA (497 nucleotides) under uncultured bacterium. Its description in RNAcentral is "partial 16S ribosomal RNA". It matches the Rfam family "Bacterial small subunit ribosomal RNA", at positions 28 to 507 of the family's 1533-position model. The record is from RNAcentral.
GACGAACGCUGGCGGCGUGCCUAAUACAUGCAAGUAGAACGCUGAAGAGAGGAGCUUGCUCUUCUUGGAUGAGUUGCGAACGGGUGAGUAACGCGUAGGUAACCUGCCUGGUAGCGGGGGAUAACUAUUGGAAACGAUAGCUAAUACCGCAUAAAAUGGAUUAUCGCAUGAUAAUCCAUUGAAAGGUGCAAAUGCAUCACUACCAGAUGGACCUGCGUUGUAUUAGCUAGUUGGUGGGGUAACGGCUCACCAAGGCGACGAUACAUAGCCGACCUGAGAGGGUGAUCGGCCACACUGGGACUGAGACACGGCCCAGACUCCUACGGGAGGCAGCAGUAGGGAAUCUUCGGCAAUGGACGGAAGUCUGACCGAGCAACGCCGCGUGAGUGAAGAAGGUUUUCGGAUCGUAAAGCUCUGUUGUAAGAGAAGAACGAGUGUGAGAGUGGAAAGUUCACACUGUGGCGGUAUCUUACCAGAAAGGGACGGCUAACUACGUG